RNAcentral lists this ribosomal RNA (145 nucleotides) under Luckia striki. Its description in RNAcentral is "partial small subunit ribosomal RNA". It matches the Rfam family "Eukaryotic small subunit ribosomal RNA", at positions 1678 to 1811 of the family's 1831-position model. Lineage: Eukaryota; Metazoa; Arthropoda; Malacostraca; Amphipoda; Pontogeneiidae. The record is from RNAcentral.
GCUACUACCGAUUGGGUGUACCAGUGAGAUCCUUGGACUGGCGAGCCUUGCACCCUAGCAAUAGAGUGCAAGCGUGUACGACGGGAAGAGGCUCGAACUGGUGCACUUAGAGGAAGUAAAAGUCGUAACAAGGUUUCCGUAGGUG